Molecule: ribosomal RNA, 253 nt
Filed under: uncultured bacterium
Lineage: Bacteria
Description: partial 16S ribosomal RNA
Rfam family: Bacterial small subunit ribosomal RNA
Source: RNAcentral
UACGGGGGGGGCAAGCGUUGUUCGGAAUUACUGGGCGUAAAGGGCUCGUAGGCGGCCAACUAAGUCGGAUGUGAAAUCCCCAGGCUUAACUUGGGAACUGCAUCCGAUACUGGAUGGCUUGAAUCCGGGAGAGGGAUGCGGAAUUCCAGGUGUAGCGGUGAAAUGCGUAGAUAUCAGGAGGAACACCGGUGGCGAAAGCGGCUCACUGGACCUCUUCUGACGCUGAGGCACGAAAGCGUGGGGAGCGAUCCGG